ACACCUCAACUCUUGUGGCUUUGCCAUGAUGAGCUUGGACGAUGGGGGUCUUGCUGGCCUGUGGUCAGCUCCUCUCAAAUAAAUCAGCUUGCCAGUGUUUGGUGGCGUCACAGGUGUGAUAACUAUCUACGCUUGUGGUUUUUCCACCAGGUAACCUUCAGCAGUGGAGGUUCACUGGAGCUCAUAGAUGUCUCUCCUCGGUGAGGACAGCCCUUUGAAU
RNAcentral lists this unclassified non-coding RNA (220 nucleotides) under uncultured Thelephoraceae. Its description in RNAcentral is "sequence contains ITS2". The record is from RNAcentral. Lineage: Eukaryota; Fungi; Basidiomycota; Agaricomycetes; Thelephorales; Thelephoraceae.